Molecule: long non-coding RNA, 417 nt
Filed under: Capra hircus (goat)
Lineage: Eukaryota; Metazoa; Chordata; Mammalia; Artiodactyla; Bovidae
Description: lncRNA (ENSCHIG00000005725.1)
Source: RNAcentral
GAUCAGAGUGGUUCAGUAACCAGUGGAGUACCAAUGGCACGAGGAAGUCAGCUGGAGUCCAAGCUGCCGCCCCCGGAUAUCCGUCGUGUCAAGCUUUGUGUCUGCACACUUGGUGUAGCACUUGCGGGCCUGCAGAGACUGACGCUGUUGAUAUAUGUCAUCUCCUCUGAGUGCCAGUUGGCCAAGCUUCCUCGGAUGCGAAUGACGAACAGGCAGCCUCUGACAGUCCCGAGACGGAGCGGAAUGGCUAAAUGACAACCCCAAUGCUCCUGAAGAAGGAAGAAUGAUGGAGAAAUGGAGAGAGAAUGGUUUCUUUAAGUUGAAAUUACGAGAUAGUAAAGGAAGACACCAGUUGUUUUUUCAUUAAUUAUCGGUUUCUUCUACUUUUAGCUGAUAUAAAUAAAUGGCCUGUUGUGU